Molecule: ribosomal RNA, 381 nt
Filed under: Streptococcus cristatus
Lineage: Bacteria; Bacillati; Bacillota; Bacilli; Lactobacillales; Streptococcaceae
Description: bacterial SSU rRNA
Rfam family: Bacterial small subunit ribosomal RNA
Source: RNAcentral
GGAUGAGUUGCGAACGGGUGAGUUACGCGUAGUAACCUGGCCUGGUAGCGGGGGAUAACUAUUGGAAACGAUAGCUAAUACCGCAUAACAUUGACUAUUGCAUGAUAGUUAAUUGAAAGGUGCAAAUGCACCACUACCAGAUGGACCUGCGUUGUAUUAGCUAGUUGGUGGGGUAACGGCUCACCAAGGCGACGAUACAUAGCCGACCUGAGAGGGUGAUCGGCCACACUGGGACUGAGACACGGCCCAGACUCCUACGGGAGGCAGCAGUAGGGACUUCUUCGGCAAUGGACGGAAGUCUGACCGAGCAACGCCGCGUGAGUGAAGAAGGUUUUCGGAUCGUAAAGCUCUGUUGUAAGAGAAGAACGAGUGUGAGAGUGG